UGAUGUCUAAAAGAGGCAGCUUUCUGCAC
RNAcentral lists this non-coding RNA (29 nucleotides) under Rattus norvegicus (Norway rat). The record is from RNAcentral. Lineage: Eukaryota; Metazoa; Chordata; Mammalia; Rodentia; Muridae.